RNAcentral lists this ribosomal RNA (253 nucleotides) under uncultured bacterium. RNAcentral's name for it is "partial 16S ribosomal RNA". It matches the Rfam family "Bacterial small subunit ribosomal RNA", at positions 524 to 776 of the family's 1533-position model. The record is from RNAcentral.
UACGUAGGGUCCGAGCGUUGUCCGGAAUUACUGGGCGUAAAGAGCUCGUAGGUGGUUUGUCGCGUUGUCCGUGAAAACUCACAGCUCAACUGUGGGCGUGCGGGCGAUACGGGCAGACUGGAGUACUGCAGGGGAGACUGGAAUUCCUGGUGUAGCGGUGGAAUGCGCAGAUAUCAGGAGGAACAACGGUGGCGAAGGCGGGUCUCUGGGCAGUAACUGACGCUGAGGAGCGAAAGCGUGGGGAGCGAACAGG